Molecule: ribosomal RNA, 571 nt
Filed under: uncultured bacterium
Lineage: Bacteria
Description: bacterial SSU rRNA
Rfam family: Bacterial small subunit ribosomal RNA
Source: RNAcentral
ACGGGUGCGUAACACGUGAGCAACCUACCGAAAUGAGGGGGAUAGCCGUCCCAACGGACGGGUAAUACCGCAUACGCUCUUGUCCAGGCAUUUGGACUUGAGGAAACCUCCGGGGCAUUUCGAGGGGCUCGCGGCCUAUCAGCUAGUUGGUGAGGUAACGGCUCACCAAGGCGACGACGGGUAGCUGGUCUGAGAGGAUGGCCAGCCACAUUGGGACUGAGAUACGGCCCAGACUCCUACGGGAGGCAGCAGUGGGGAAUCUUGCGCAAUGGCCUAACGGCUGACGCAGCGACGCCGCGUGAGGGAUGACGCUCUUCGGAGUGUAAACCUCUUUUGCCUGAGACGAAUUGUCAGCUUUAGCUGAUUUGACUGUAUCGGGUGAAUAAGCACCGGCUAACUCCGUGCCAGCAGCCGCGGUAAUACGGGGGGUGCGAGCGUUGUCCGGAAUCACUGGGCGUAAAGGGCGCGUAGGUGGCCUGAUAAGGGUGUGGUGAAAGUCCGGGGCUCAACCCCGGAUCGGCCGUGCCGACUGUUAGGCUAGAGUACUGUAGGGGCAGGCGGAAUUCCGGGU